This 256-nucleotide ribosomal RNA is filed under the name uncultured bacterium. RNAcentral's name for it is "partial 16S ribosomal RNA". It matches the Rfam family "Bacterial small subunit ribosomal RNA", at positions 524 to 777 of the family's 1533-position model. The record is from RNAcentral.
UACGUAGGGGGCGAGCGUUGUCCGGAUUUAUUGGGCGUAAAGAGCUCGUAGGCGGUUCGAUAAGUCGGACGUGAAAUCUCCACGCUCAACGUGGAGGGGCCGUUCGAUACUGUCGUGACUCGAGUCCGGUAGGGGAGUGUGGAAUUCCCGGUGUAGCGGUGAAAUGCGCAGAGAUCGGGAGGAACACCCGUAGCGAAGGCGGCACUCUGGGCCGGUACUGGACGCUGAGGAGCGAAAGCGUGGGGAGCAAACAGGG